CAGCCCCGCGGGAAUACGGAGGGCGCGAGCGUUACCCGGAUUUACUGGGCGUAAAGGGCGUGUAGGCGGCCUGGGGCGUCCCAUGUGAAAGGCCACGGCUCAACCGUGGAGGAGCGUGGGAUACGCUCAGGCUAGAGGGUGGGAGAGGGUGGUGGAAUUCCCGGAGUAGCGGUGAAAUGCGCAGAUACCGGGAGGAACGCCGAUGGCGAAGGCAGCCACCUGGUCCACUUCUGACGCUGAGGCGCGAAAGCGUGGGGAGCAAACCGGAUUAGAUACCCGAGUAGUCCCUGUCUCUUAUACC
Molecule: ribosomal RNA, 301 nt
Filed under: uncultured bacterium
Lineage: Bacteria
Description: partial 16S ribosomal RNA
Rfam family: Bacterial small subunit ribosomal RNA
Source: RNAcentral